GGCAUACGCCCUACGGGGGGAAAGAUUUAUCCGGGGGAAGGAUUGGCCCGCGUUGGAUUAGCUAGUUGGGUGGGGGUAAAGGCCCUACCAAGGCGACGAUCCAUAGCUGGUCUGAGAGGAUGAUCAGCCACAUUGGGACUGAGACACGGCCCAAACUCCUACGGGAGGCAGCAGUGGGGAAUAUUGGACAAUGGCCCCAAGCCUGAUCCAGCCAUGCCGCGUGAGUGAUGAAGGCCUUAGGGUUGUAAAGCUCUUUCACCGGAGAAGAUAAUGACGGUAUCCGGAGAAGAAGCCCCGGCUAACUUCGUGCCAGCAGCCGCGGUAAUACGAAGGGGGCUAGCGUUGUUCGGAAUUACUGGGCGUAAAGCGCACGUAGGCGGAUAUUUAAGUCAGGGGUGAAAUCCCAGAGCUCAACUCUGGAACUGCCUUUGAUACUGGGUAUCUUGAGUAUGGAAGAGGUAAGUGGAAUUCCGAGUGUAGAGGUGAAAUUCGUAGAUAUUCGGAGGAACACCAGUGGCGAAGGCGGCUUACUGGUCCAUUACUGACGCUGAGGUGCGAAAGCGUGGGGAGCAAACAGGAUUAGAUA
This 586-nucleotide ribosomal RNA is filed under the name Agrobacterium tumefaciens. Its description in RNAcentral is "bacterial SSU rRNA". It matches the Rfam family "Bacterial small subunit ribosomal RNA", at positions 185 to 784 of the family's 1533-position model. Lineage: Bacteria; Pseudomonadati; Pseudomonadota; Alphaproteobacteria; Hyphomicrobiales; Rhizobiaceae. The record is from RNAcentral.